This 2401-nucleotide long non-coding RNA is filed under the name Mus musculus (house mouse). Its description in RNAcentral is "RIKEN cDNA 2600014E21 gene". Lineage: Eukaryota; Metazoa; Chordata; Mammalia; Rodentia; Muridae. The record is from RNAcentral.
GUCCAGAUUGUGGCUGAAGCUGAAUUUUAUGAGCCUUCCCCCAAAAAACUGGAAGAUUUUGCCAUCUUACAAGCCCUCUUCCUUAAGAAAGAGAAAGAUGAGCAGUAAAUAUCCUCUGGCACGUCGGCACAUUCUGUCUCUUCGUGUUUUCAUGAAGUGUUCAUGACAUGGGAUUGAAGUACUCCUUUGUGUUCAGUAUUUGAUAUCAAAUCCUUUACAAGCUCUCCUGUACUUCUUUUUCAGGGUGAGAAAGCUUGGUGUUCAGGACAAUGGAUGCCAAAUAGAAGAUAUGGCCAUCGCUCUACAGUCAAUGUAGAAAAUUGGAGCAUCACAGUGUCAGAUCAUUCCCACGCUAUCAAACCAAAUAUGACCAGGCAAGAAACAGAACGGAAAUGGAGAGGAGAGCCCAGCAUGACUUGCGCCGUGCCAAAGGAAUACGUGUGAGUUGGCUUCGUGUCAUCGUAACAAAACCCUGAGAGAAAUAUCUUGAAAGAGCCAGGUUGGUCCAGACCUGCUGGCAAGCCUGCAGCCCCAUCCACCGAUUACCUAAUACACUUGUGACAUCUGCUUUCCUUGUUGUGAGAAAACACAGGGAGGAAGUGUGUGCAGAAGGGGUGAUGCCUGACCUACACACCCGGCAAUACCAGAAGUUUCACUACCUUCCGUUGGUAAACGCUUCAGGGAAGGCUCUGCAACCCUGAACGUGUUUUAUUGUAGAACCUCACUAGGAAACUCAUCAGUAUUUAUUAAAGAUGAAUUAAAAGAAGGAGGAAAAGGAAAAACGGGAUAGUGAAGAGAAUAGAUGAAUGAAAAAGAAGCAAAGGGAAGAGAGGAGGAAGGGACAAAGAGGGCAAGAAAAGAGAAAAGAGAGAUGAGAGACCAGGACUUCCCACCUAACCUUACCAAACUUUUUCAGUUGAGCUUUUAAUGGGAUACUAUUCCCAAGAGGAAAUUCAAAAAGAAAACCACCUUGAAACAUCCUUGCUUUUAAUUGUACUCUUUCAACUGCCAGGAAAUUAAUUAGGUAAGACAAAAAGAAAAUUUUCUACCUUAAUAAAAAGAAGCCAACACCCAGGAACAACUGUCUUUGCUUGAGAACAGUGUUACGUGUACAAAGCUGCCUACAAAGUGUCUCCCGCCUGGCUCAGGCAAGAAACUGGGACAGAAGUCUGUGAUGUUAUACCAGCCUGGGAGUCGUGCAUGGUCAUGUCAGUGUCGAGUGCACCAGGCGACACAGGGACAUGCCAGGCACCGCUCCUCCAGAGAGACUUGCCAGGUAUACAUGUUACCUCUCUCCCUUAGGCUUCACAGACUCGGCGGCCUUCCUCCAACCACCUGUCUCCUUAGGAAGUUUGAGAGAACUUUCUCCUCUGUGAUACAAACAGUAACCAAACAAAGCAGUAAACAAUCCAGUGUGGAAAGCACAUACUAAAGCUAAGAUUUAAUGUCACUGAAAUAAAAUCAUAACAACAAAAAACUCCAAGUACCCUUUCUUUGCAUAAUGUAUUUCAGGUGUCCAGCUACAGAGGCCAAGCCUGUGAUUUACAUCAAGCAAAGAGUCCUGGGAGAAAGAGGAGGAAAGACCGCCUUUGCCUGGGACAAGAUUCCUAUUUGUGUCAAGGAGAGUUAGGGACGAGAUGGUUGAGGCAGAGCAGCUGACUGCAGUCUUUAUCCAGUUUGCAUUGCUUUGGGGAAAGCCUUUUAACUGCAAGCCGGAUUGUCCAGAUGCUGGGCUGUCCGGAUGCUGGAUGGUCCAGAUGCUUUGUCGUGGUUGUUCCCUCUGAGUUUCCUCUGCCUUCUGGCUCCUCUUAGUCACCUUCACAACAGGGCUUUAUCAGGACUCUAGAGCAUCGGGCAAGCUCAGGUCUCACCUCUCCUUUUAAUUCUGCAGGAGUCUAUGCCAUGUACUCCAGCCCUGCAUAGAAUGAGUUCUGGAGUUCACCUGGAGCCCACGGAGAGUGGAUGUGGAACUUUUCUGUAGAACAUAGGAGCCGUCUGUACCGGCACAGCUUCAGCCAGCAAUAAGCAUUACCAGCUCCUGCCAGAGGAGCAAGAGGCAGCCACUGAGCUAUAGAGAUCCACACUCCGUCCCUCGUACAACUGCCGCUGUGACCACCUUCUCCUUUCUGCUUUAUUACGUCUGAGAAGCAUUUCAUAUGAUAACCUUCCCUUUCACUCUGGCCUGGACCCUUAUUGAAAAGGAAGAAGCAGUGGAAGAGAUCAGACAAGCAGUGUUGUUCGAGACACUUCCUAAUUCCCUUAACAAGGGUUAUGAAGUUUCGGCUGGGAAAAAGGACAAGGGGCAGAGACAGUGUUUAUUUACAGAAUGGUUCUAGAAGAGCUGACAGGCUUCGAAUGGCCGUGGGUUGUACGGUUUUGACAUUUAACAAUUUUAUUAACA